GUAAAAGUGCCUUUUUUUUCUCUUAUUAACUGAAUUGGCGGCGGGGUAGCAAUCUGAAAGUGAACAUGAGCAUAAAGCAGAAAGAGACAAACAUGGGGUCACGACUGCAGGGGAUUUGUUUCCUUGGGCGCGAAGAGCAUUGAGAGCACUUCUGGGAUGAAGGGUAAAAAUACACACCUAUAAUCUCAGGACUCAUAGCCUGAGGCCCAAGGUUUCCAAGUUGAAGGACAGCCUGUGCUACAUAGGAAGUUGUAGCCUGGGCUAGAAAGACUGCUUCUGCCCUCUACUUGGAAUCUAGAACAUAAGAUUUUCAGGUAUAUCCUUAUGAAUUUCUGAACUUUGUUGGUAUGUGAUGUAAUAUGUCUACUGUCGGUGUGCAUUUUUCUUUGCUAGUUUGCUAACAGUUCACCGAUCUGGCUUCUCUCUUCAUUUAUUGUUCGAUGACAUCAUUGUAUUUUUUUCUGUCUCACUGUCGUUCAGUUCUACCCUCUUCUCCCUUCUUCACGUCUGCUGCUGUCUGGUUUGCCAUGUUCUUGUGUUCCCAAGGCAAUGAGGUGGAUCACUGAACAUUGCUUUAAAAACGAAGAGAGAAGAAAAGGAUAGGAAGACAAGAGACUCAGAGUGUAGACUAAAUGUCAUGUCAGCAACACCUAACCGUGUCUCUCCUGGAUACCAUGCAAUAAAUUCCCAGAUAGAA
Molecule: non-coding RNA, 697 nt
Organism: Rattus norvegicus (Norway rat)
Lineage: Eukaryota; Metazoa; Chordata; Mammalia; Rodentia; Muridae
Source: RefSeq, a predicted model, not a curated record